Molecule: long non-coding RNA, 2216 nt
Organism: Cyprinus carpio carpio
Lineage: Eukaryota; Metazoa; Chordata; Actinopteri; Cypriniformes; Cyprinidae
Source: Ensembl
AUGGGAACAAAAUUAUACAGUGCCUCACGUUUUACUAAAACAAAGAAAAUAAUUUAUAAAACAUGCAACAAUUUCUUAAUCAGUGUACAGACAAAUAUAUUUUCCCAAGAAGUUGUCUGUCAAAAUAAAGGACAGGUAACGAAUAACAAAAUGUCAAUAUUCUCAUAUAUUAGGCCUAUAUUUUAAUUUAUAUUUUAAAAUUCCUUUAAUAAAACAACAUGCAUUUUUGUUAUUCGUUACCUGUCCUUUAUUUUGACAGACAACUUCUUGGGAAAAUAUAUUUGUCUGUAGACUGAUUAAGAAAUUGUUGCGUGUUUUAUAAAUUAUUUUCUUUAUUUUAGUAAAACGUGAGGCACUGUAUAAUUUCGUUCCCAUUAUUUAGGCCUAAUUAAAACAAGAAACGAAUAAAUUAAACCUGCACAAUUUAGCUAAAUCAUUGAAAGUCUAAAGAAUGGACGGAUUAAUAAAACGUUCUCAUGUUUAAACUCAAGUUCUCUCAUUAUAAUCAACAAAAUACACACAAUGUAAAUAAGAGCUUCAUUAAUUGACAACUUCAGUAAUUUUAAAGGGAGCCUUCUUUACUUGCUUUCAUAUAAUUUAAGUAAAAAAAUAAAAUUGCAGCCGCAUUUAAAUGCAGGUGUGUAAAUUUGUCUGCGUGCAAGAUUUGCGCGGCGCGAGUCAUGCUGAGUGCACGCGCAGCAUUUAUUCUUAUUUGUUUUAUCUUCAUUACAAAUCUUGUUUGGUUUUAUUUUGGAUAAUUGCAUGUAAAAAAUAAUUUACGUUGUAAUGCAUAUGCAAAAUGUGAAUUAUUAUUCAUAUUCAAGUGUUUGUGCGAAAAUUAUUAAUGCGCAUGCAGGACAGGGAGGCGCCCUCUUGAUCACUUGAAAUUUUUCUUGAUUAUGAAUUAACUUAAAAUUGUGGCGUCUCACAUACAUGAUAAAUAUAUCUACAGAAAGCUCAUCACUCAAGAUAUUGAUUCAAAUGAUUUUAUACCAAGAUUAGAUUUUCCAUGGGUAAGUUCUAGGUACCUGCUCCUUUGUAAAUCAGCCAGCCCCCAGACACACUUUCAAGUUUUGGACAAAGAUCUUUGAGAGUUGAACAUACCUUCAAGAGUAAUAUAAAUCAUACCAUCAUAUUGACAAAAGAACAUUGGUUUUGAUAGUGGACUAUAUUAAAAUAUUAUAUGACAAAAAAAAUGUUGCCUCACCUCAUCAUGGGUGUAGUUCCCUGGUAUCAGCGUGGACCUGCGUCCCAAACCAGCUUGCAGAUGGAAAACUUCUUCACUGCCUUUGGGAGUGUGCUCAACAAUCUUGGGUAAGAGAUAAAAUGUAACUUCUAUCUCUUUGACUGGUGUGAAGUGGUUGGAAGGCCCUUGAACACGCCAGCGCUUUCCACUGGCUCCAAAAAGGGCAGGAAAAGACCUGUGAUGAUAAUUUUUUAAUUUGAUAUUACACAAUACAAGUAUAUCUCACUAGCUAUAGUUUGAGAAUUUAAAUUGAUUAAUGUAAGGGACGAGUCAGUCUGACAAAGAAACCAAAUAUAGUGAAGGACCUUGUCAUUUCUGUGUGGACACUGGGUCGGCCAUCUCUCCCUCUUUCCUGACUCCUUUCCUGUCUGCUAGAAUGACAUGCCGUGUUCAGAAGAUGCAUCACAUUAUUUUAUACAUGUUAAUCUCUGUGUGUGUGUUAUUUGUUGGGAAACUAGACAACACCUUGGAGUCUCUGGGCAAGUUUGAUGUUGGGCACUGGGUCCAACAGGACCAGGGGAAGGUAUUGCAUUUGUGAACAAAUUUAGGAGCUGUCUUCCUGAAUUGACUACUUCUGAGUUGUCUCCCUGUCAAAAGUAUAAAAAUUGAGCAGUAGGUUGGAAAAGCUAUCCAAUACAUUAACUUAAUAACCCAUAAAACAAUAUAAAUAACUUAACCCUCUGGAGUCUAAGGGUAUUUUUGGGGCCUGAAGAAGUUUUGUCAUGCCCUGACAUUUGUGCCUUUUUCAGUUUCUUAUAAAUAUCUAAAUGGCUAAAGUUUAAUCUCACUGUAAUCAGCACAAACUAGGCUAUAAUAAUAUGUGAGCAGCAUGUAUGUACAUGAUUGUGUUUUUGAGAAAAAAAAUGUUAUGCGUGGUUAGUGAAAAACUAAAAAUGUUAAAUCACUUGAAUAAGGCAAUAAAACACAUACAGAAAAUUGGUUCCCGGGACUUUUUGAGAACUGGAGCUUG